GACGAACGCUGGCGGCGUGCUUAACACAUGCAAGUCGAACGGAAAGGCCCUGCUUUUGUGGGGUGCUCGAGUGGCGAACGGGUGAGUAACACGUGAGUAACCUGCCCUUGACUUUGGGAUAACUUCAGGAAACUGGGGCUAAUACCGGAUAGGAGCUCCUGCUGCAUGGUGGGGGUUGGAAAGUUUCGGCGGUUGGGGAUGGACUCGCGGCUUAUCAGCUUGUUGGUGGGGUAGUGGCUUAACAAGGCUUUGACGGGUAGCCGGCCUGAGAGGGUGACCGGCCACAUUGGGACUGAGAUACCGCCCAGACGCCUACGGGAGGCAGCAGUGGGGAAUAUUGCACAAUGGGCGGAAGCCUGAUGCAGCAACGCCGCGUGCGGGAUGACGGCCUUCGGGUUGUAAACCGCUUUCGCCUGUGACGAAGCGUGAGUGACGGUAAUGGGUAAAGAAGCACCGGCUAACUACGUG
RNAcentral lists this ribosomal RNA (468 nucleotides) under uncultured bacterium. RNAcentral's name for it is "partial 16S ribosomal RNA". It matches the Rfam family "Bacterial small subunit ribosomal RNA", at positions 28 to 507 of the family's 1533-position model. The record is from RNAcentral.